AAGAGUCUAGCUACAGUCUAGAGUUGGCUCCUCAGCAACAGAGUGCCCCACUGCUCAUGUCACCUGUCAUCUGGUCCCUUUAGCUCACUGUUGUCCUGUGGGGCAAAGGGAUAUGAGGAGCUGACACCAUGCUGAUCUUGCUUAUCCUGCCUGUGUAUAGUCCCACGACAUAUAAUACUCACUCUCCGAUCAACUCUCGGUGAGUAGCAGCCUCGGUAAGAUUAGGCCCAGGCCCGCCUCUCCGGCCGCAGGACAGUCUCGGAGGUCCUACCCAUUUACUUUGGGUCCCCGGCGGCGAGCGGCGGCGGCAGGCACCAAGGAAUAUACUUGAUUGCCUUGUUUCUUGUGGAGUGAAGCACAGAGAUAAGU
Ailuropoda melanoleuca (giant panda) is the source of this 369-nucleotide long non-coding RNA. RefSeq lists it as uncharacterized. The record is from RefSeq and is a predicted model, not a curated record. NCBI's taxonomy places the organism in Eukaryota, Metazoa, Chordata, Mammalia, Carnivora, Ursidae. The transcript has 4 exons.